GGAAGCAUAGCUCAGUUGGGAGAGCAUCUGCCUUACAAGCAGGGGGUCAUAGGUUCGAGCCCUAUUGUUUCCACCA
This 76-nucleotide transfer RNA is filed under the name Clostridia bacterium. RNAcentral describes it as "tRNA-Val". It matches the Rfam family "tRNA". Rfam says of the family: Transfer RNA (tRNA) molecules are approximately 80 nucleotides in length. RNAcentral also lists the same sequence under 2 other names. Lineage: Bacteria; Bacillati; Bacillota; Clostridia. The record is from RNAcentral.